RNAcentral lists this transfer RNA (47 nucleotides) under Sylvicapra grimmia (bush duiker). Its description in RNAcentral is "partial tRNA-Pro". Lineage: Eukaryota; Metazoa; Chordata; Mammalia; Artiodactyla; Bovidae. The record is from RNAcentral. RNAcentral also lists the same sequence under 3 other names.
CCCACUAUCAACACCCAAAGCUGAAGUUCUAUUUAAACUAUUCCCUG